RNAcentral lists this unclassified non-coding RNA (372 nucleotides) under uncultured Gammaproteobacteria bacterium. RNAcentral's name for it is "contains 16S-23S intergenic spacer region". Lineage: Bacteria; Pseudomonadati; Pseudomonadota; Gammaproteobacteria. The record is from RNAcentral.
UCCGGUUUGUCACCGGCAGUCUCCCUAGAGUGCCCUUGCGUAGCAACUAGGGACAAGGGUUGCGCUCGUUGCGGGACUUAACCCAACAUCUCACGACACGAGCUGACGACAGCCAUGCAGCACCUGUGUGCAGGUUCCCUUUCGGGCACCCCCAUAUCUCUACAGGGUUCCUGCCAUGUCAAGGGUAGGUAAGGUUUUUCGCGUUGCAUCGAAUUAAUCCACAUCAUCCACCGCUUGUGCGGGUCCCCGUCAAUUCCUUUGAGUUUUAAUCUUGCGACCGUACUCCCCAGGCGGUCAACUUCACGCGUUAGCUGCGGUACCAAGGAAUUGCUCCCCCAACACCUAGUUGACAUCGUUUAGGGCGUGGACUAC